RNAcentral lists this ribosomal RNA (472 nucleotides) under uncultured bacterium. Its description in RNAcentral is "SSU rRNA". It matches the Rfam family "Bacterial small subunit ribosomal RNA", at positions 26 to 518 of the family's 1533-position model. The record is from RNAcentral.
AGGACGAACGCUGGCGGCGUGCUUAACACAUGCAAGUCGAGCGGAAAGGCCCUUCGGGGUACUCGAGCGGCGAACGGGUGAGUAACACGUGAGCAACCUGCCCUUAGCUCUGGGAUAGCUCCGGGAAACCGGAUUAAUACCGGAUAUGACCUAGGCCGACAUCGGCCGUGGUGGAAAGUUUUUCGGCUAGGGAUGGACUCGCGGCCUAUCAGCUAGUUGGUGGGGUAAUGGCCUACCAAGGCGACGACGGGUAGCCGGCCUGAGAGGGCGACCGGCCACACUGGGACUGAGACACGGCCCAGACUCCUACGGGAGGCAGCAGUGGGGAAUCUUGCGCAAUGGGCGAAAGCCUGACGCAGCGACGCCGCGUGGGGGAUGAAGGCCUUCGGGUUGUAAACCCUUUCAGCAGGGACGAAGCGAAAGUGACGGUACCUGCAGAAGAAGCGCCGGCUAACUACGUGCCAGCAGCCGC